GCAGAUCAGAAGCGAGAAUGUCGACAUGAGUAGCGACAAAGAGGGUGAGAGACCCUCUCGCCGAAAGUCCAAGGGUUCCUGCUUAAAGCUAAUCUGAGCAGGGUAAGCCGGCCCCUAAGGCGAGGCCGAAAGGCGUAGUCGAUGGGAACCAGGUUAAUAUUCCUGGGCCAGUGGGAUGUGACGGAUCUCGAAGAUUGUCUGCCCUUAUCGGAUUGGGUGGGCCGUUCAGAGGUUCCUGGAAAUAGCCCCACAUCAGACCGUACCCUAAACCGACACAGGUGGACUGGUAGAGUAUACCAAGGCGCUUGAGAGAACCACGUUAAAGGAACUCGGCAAAAUGCUCCCGUAAGUUCGCGAGAAGGGAGCCCCAUAUGUACGCAAGUAUGUGUGGGGGGCACAAACUAGGGGGUGGCGACUGUUUACUUAAAACACAGGGCUGUGCGAAGCCGUAAGGCGACGUAUACAGUCUGACGCCUGCCCGGUGCUGGAAGAUUAAGAGGAGGGGUGCAAGCUCUGAAUUGAAGUCCCAGUAAACGGCGGCCGUAACUAUAACGGUCCUAAGGUAGCGAAAUUCCUUGUCGGGUAAGUUCCGACCUGCACGAAUGGCGUAACGAUCUCCCCGCUGUCUCUAACGUGGACUCAGCGAAAUUGAACUGUCUGUCAAGAUGCAGACUACCCGCGGUUAGACGGAAAGGCCCCAUGAACCUUUACUCCAGCUUUGCACUGGUAUCAGGAUUGUGAUGUGCAGGAUAGGUGGUAGGCAUUGAAGCGGGGACGCCAGUCUUCGUGGAGCCUCCCUUGAGAUACCACCCUUCGCCAUCUUGAUAUCUAACCGCGGCCCGUUAUCCGGGUCCGGGACCCUGCAUGGUGGGGAGUUUGACUGGGGCGGUCGCCUCCCAAAUUGUAACGGAGGCGCGCGAUGGUUGGCUCAGACCGGUCGGAAAUCGGUCGUUGAGUGCAAUGGCAGAAGCCAGCCUGACUGCAAGACUGACAAGUCGAGCAGAGACGAAAGUCGGUCAUAGUGAUCCGGUGGUCCCAAGUGGGAGGGCCAUCGCUCAACGGAUAAAAGGUACUCUGGGGAUAACAGGCUGAUGAUGCCCAAGAGUCCAUAUCGACGGCAUCGUUUGGCACCUCGAUGUCGGCUCAUCUCAUCCUGGGGCUGGAGCAGGUCCCAAGGGUAUGGCUGUUCGCCAUUUAAAGAGGUACGUGAGCUGGGUUUAGAACGUCGUGAGACAGUUCGGUCCCUAUCUGCCGUGGGUGCAGGAGACUUGAGAAGAGUUGACCCUAGUACGAGAGGACCGGGUUGAACGAACCACUGGUGGACCAGUUAUCGUGCCAACGGUAGUGCUGGGUAGCUAUGUUCGGACAGGAUAACCGCUGAAGGCAUCUAAGCGGGAAGCCCCCUUCAAAACAAGGUCUCCCUUGAGGGCCGUGGAAGACCACCACGUCGAUAGGCCAGAGGUGUAAGUGCAGCAAUGCAUUCAGCUGACUGGUACUAAUUGCCCGU
RNAcentral lists this ribosomal RNA (1507 nucleotides) under metagenome. RNAcentral's name for it is "bacterial LSU rRNA". It matches the Rfam family "Bacterial large subunit ribosomal RNA", at positions 1277 to 2912 of the family's 2925-position model. The record is from RNAcentral.